Molecule: ribosomal RNA, 346 nt
Filed under: uncultured bacterium
Lineage: Bacteria
Description: partial 16S ribosomal RNA
Rfam family: Bacterial small subunit ribosomal RNA
Source: RNAcentral
CCUACGGGAGGCUGCAGUGGGGAAUAUUGGGCAAUGGGCGCAAGCCUGACCCAGCAACGCCGCGUGAAGGUAGAAGGCUUUCGGGUUGUAAACUUCUUUUGACAGGGAAGAGUAGAAGACGGUACCUGUCGAAUAAGCCACGUCUAACUACGUGCAAACAGCCGCGGCAAUACGGAGGUGGCAGGCGUUGUCCGGAUGUACUGGUUGUAAAGGGCGUGUAGCUGGGUUGACAAGUAAGAUGGGAAUGCCUGCGGCUUAACCGCAGAAGUGCAUUUGAAACUGUUGAGCUUGAAUACUGGAGAGGCAGAAGGAAUUUGUGGUGUAGCGGUGAAAUGCGUAGAUAUUA